Molecule: ribosomal RNA, 486 nt
Filed under: uncultured cyanobacterium
Lineage: Bacteria; Bacillati; Cyanobacteriota
Description: bacterial SSU rRNA
Rfam family: Bacterial small subunit ribosomal RNA
Source: RNAcentral
GGCUGUCGUCAGCUCGUGUCGUGAGAUGUUGGGUUAAGUCCCGCAACGAGCGCAACCCACGUCUUUAGUUGCCAGCAUUAAGUUGGGCACUCUAGAGAGACCGUCGGUGAUAAACCGGAGGAAGGUGUGGAUGACGUCAAGUCAUCAUGCCCCUUACAUCCUGGGCUACACACGUACUACAAUGCUACGGACAAAGGGCAGCAAACUCGCGAGAGCUAGCAAAUCCCAUAAACCGUGGCUCAGUUCAGAUCGUAGGCUGCAACUCGCCUACGUGAAGGAGGAAUCGCUAGUAAUCGCAGGUCAGCAUACUGCGGUGAAUACGUUCCCGGGCCUUGUACACACCGCCCGUCACACCAUGGAAGUUGGCCACGCCCGAAGUCGUUACUCCAACCCUUGUGGAGGAGGAUGCCGAAGGUGGGGCUGAUGACUGGGGUGAAGUCGUAACAAGGUAGCCGUACCGGAAGGUGCGGCUGGAUCACCUCCUAA